RNAcentral lists this ribosomal RNA (405 nucleotides) under uncultured bacterium. RNAcentral describes it as "bacterial SSU rRNA". It matches the Rfam family "Bacterial small subunit ribosomal RNA", at positions 355 to 775 of the family's 1533-position model. The record is from RNAcentral.
UCGGGAAUUUUGGGCAAUGGGCGAAAGCCUGACCCAGCAACGCCGCGUGAAGGAUGAAGUAUUUCGGUAUGUAAACUUCGAAAGAAUGGGAAGAAAAAAAUGACGGUACCAUUUAUAAGGUCCGGCUAACUACGUGCCAGCAGCCGCGGUAAUACGUAGGGACCAAGCGUUGUUCGGAUUUACUGGGCGUAAAGGGCGCGUAGGCGGCAUAUUAAGUCAGCUGUGAAAUCUCCGAGCUUAACUCGGAACGGUCAGCUGAUACUGAUGUGCUAGAGUGCGGAAGGGGCAAUCGGAAUUCUUGGUGUAGCGGUGAAAUGCGUAGAUAUCAAGAGGAACACCUGAGGUGAAGACGGGUUGCUGGGCCGACACUGACGCUGAGGGCGCGAAAGCCAGGGGAGCAAACGG